RNAcentral lists this transfer RNA (77 nucleotides) under Muribaculaceae bacterium. Its description in RNAcentral is "tRNA-Phe". It matches the Rfam family "tRNA". Rfam says of the family: Transfer RNA (tRNA) molecules are approximately 80 nucleotides in length. Their secondary structure includes four short double-helical elements and three loops (D, anti-codon, and T loops). The record is from RNAcentral. Lineage: Bacteria; Pseudomonadati; Bacteroidota; Bacteroidia; Bacteroidales; Muribaculaceae.
GGGCUAAUAGCUUACGAGGUCGGAGCGCUGGUCUGAAAAACCAGAGGAUGAUGGUUCGAUACCAUCUUAGCCCACCA